This 315-nucleotide long non-coding RNA is filed under the name Homo sapiens (human). RNAcentral describes it as "HSALNT0308364". Lineage: Eukaryota; Metazoa; Chordata; Mammalia; Primates; Hominidae. The record is from RNAcentral.
AUCAUUCUCAUCAAGGCAUCAGCGUGGCACAUUAGACCUCUUCCAAGCCAUUCCACUGGAACUUCUCUCUCCAAAUGCUCCAGCAAGAGUAAACUUGUUAUGCAAACAUUGGAUCAUUGUCUCUGAGCUACAGAAGCACCUCUGUGUCGGUGAAAGGGGAGAAACUGGCUGACUUGCGUCUGUUUUUAAUGAUGUCGCUGCUGCUGGGAAAAUUUGGAAGCUGCAGAGCCAAGAACAUCAGAGGUGGGAUGAUGAUGCUUGUGGCUAUGAGACAGGAUUUCAAGGAUCCUGAUGAAACGUCUGCUGGCCUGAAUC